UAAAGUUUUAAAUGCACUUAUGCAUUUACAAGGUCACUUGUUUGCAAAACCCGAGCCUAUCCCAAGUAACUCAUCGGACAAUCGGUGGAAGUGGUUUAAGAAUUGUUUGGGUGCACUAGAUGGAACAUUUAUCAAGGUUUAUGUACAAAAUGUUGAUAAGCCUAGAUAUCAAACUCGUAAAGGAGAUAUUGCAACAAAUGUCUUAGGUGUGUGCACUCCUGACAUGCAAUUUGUGUAUGUUCUUUCUGGUUGGGAAUGAUCUGUAUCCGAUAGUCGAGUUCUUCGUGAUGCAAUUACUAAGGCACAUCCAUUGAAAGUACCUCAUUAAUUAUGGCAACUAGUGACACAUGCAGUUCAAAAAACAAGUCAAGGAGGUGGACCCAUGAAGAAGAUGUUG
Long non-coding RNA from Ipomoea nil (Japanese morning glory), 397 nucleotides. RefSeq lists it as uncharacterized. The record is from RefSeq and is a predicted model, not a curated record. The transcript has 3 exons. Lineage: Eukaryota; Viridiplantae; Streptophyta; Magnoliopsida; Solanales; Convolvulaceae.